GCGGGCCAGGAACAGGACACUCUCGUCUGGCCUCCGCCAGGAACUGCUGUGGAAGAGAAUUCAGCGUUGCGGCAUUUGCUGAUGGCUCAGGAGGCCAGGGAAACGAGGGAGCAGGAACAGCGCGAUAUGGAUCGCAUCCAGAGUGGAUCUGAAGCUCAAGGCAGUGGCCAUGCACACCAGCAUGACGCCCAGAGCGCUUUAAAAGCAGUGCAUGAUGCCCUGAAACAAAGAUCCAACCUCGAGGGGCCCAUUCAGUCUUCUAAGGACCUGUCGGACCUGAGGGUGCGCCAUGCCCUCAUUGGAAGAUUAUACUGUUUCCGUGUCAGCCCCGAACACCAAACAGAGGGGUGACAAGCUGUGUUGGUGCAGAUUGUGGAUAUCCGGCCCAUCCUGGCUCAAGUAGGAAUGAAGACCUCUGGACCCAAGCCACUUCUGAUUGAUCGCCUGUGGUCAGCCAUCCUGGAGGAACGCUCAACAAGCCAACCUGGUGCACAGCACAG
This 500-nucleotide long non-coding RNA is filed under the name Coccomyxa subellipsoidea. Its description in RNAcentral is "long non-coding RNA (CSUB_LNC000757)". The record is from RNAcentral. Lineage: Eukaryota; Viridiplantae; Chlorophyta; Trebouxiophyceae; Coccomyxaceae.